Molecule: ribosomal RNA, 366 nt
Filed under: Triticum aestivum (bread wheat)
Lineage: Eukaryota; Viridiplantae; Streptophyta; Magnoliopsida; Poales; Poaceae
Description: partial small subunit ribosomal RNA
Source: RNAcentral
AUGAUCACGGACAAUGUGCUGUUGGCCUAUGAGAUCACUCACUUGAUGCAUACAAAGAAGGGAGGAAGGCAAGGCUUGGUGGCAGUCAAGUUUGAUAUGAGCAAGGCGUAUGAUCAGGUGGAGUGGAACUUCCUGGAACGCAUGAUGCACACUAUGGGUUUCGCUCCUACUUGGAGGGGACUGCGUCAAGGAGAUCCUUUAUCUCCGUACCUUUUCAUCAUUUGUGCGGAGGCCUUCUCCAGGUUACUGCAGCAAGCUGAGGUCGAGAGGACAAUUGAGGGGGUUCAGGAGAUCCUUGCUCUGUAUGAGGCUCAAUCAGGCCAGAAAAUCAAUAGGGACAAGUCCUCGGCGUUUUUUAGCAAGAAA